This 253-nucleotide ribosomal RNA is filed under the name uncultured bacterium. Its description in RNAcentral is "partial 16S ribosomal RNA". It matches the Rfam family "Bacterial small subunit ribosomal RNA", at positions 524 to 776 of the family's 1533-position model. The record is from RNAcentral.
UACGUAGGGGGCAAGCGUUAUCCGGAUUUACUGGGUGUAAAGGGAGCGUAGACGGAAAGGCAAGUCAGAAGUGAAAACCCAAGGCUCAACCAUGGGACUGCUUUUGAAACUGUCAAACUAGAGUACGGGAGAGGUAAGAGGAAUUCCUAGUGUAGCGGUGAAAUGCGUAGAUAUUAGGAGGAACACCAGUGGCGAAGGCGUCUUACUAGACCGAAACUGACGUUGAGGCUCGAAAGCGUGGGGAGCAAACAGG